Molecule: ribosomal RNA, 253 nt
Filed under: uncultured bacterium
Lineage: Bacteria
Description: partial 16S ribosomal RNA
Rfam family: Bacterial small subunit ribosomal RNA
Source: RNAcentral
UACGAAGGAGGCUAGCGUUGUUCGGAAUCACUGGGCGUAAAGCGCACGUAGGCGGAUUUUUAAGUCAGGGGUGAAAUCCCGAGGCUCAACCUCGGAACUGCCUUUGAUACUGGAGAUCUUGAGUCCGGAGGAGGUAAGUGGAACUGCGAGUGUAGAGGUGAAAUUCGUAGAUAUUCGCAAGAACACCAGUGGCGAAGGCGGCUUACUGGUCCGGAACUGACGCUGAGGUGCGAAAGCGUGGGGAGCAAACAGG